Non-coding RNA from Acanthosepion pharaonis, 113 nucleotides. The record is from the annotation of a GenBank genome assembly. Lineage: Eukaryota; Metazoa; Mollusca; Cephalopoda; Sepiida; Sepiidae.
UACAGCCAUAUUACGUUGAAACAGUGGUUCUCGUACGAUCACCGAAGUAAAGCAAUACCGAGCCUGGUCAGUACCUAGAUGGGUGACUGCUGGAGUAUACCAAGUACUGUAAG